CCCCCACCCACUGUGCUGCACUGUUUGAGGGGCUGGGCAGCACUGAGGAAGAGCAGGGACCAUAAACCACAGCCCCACUCGGCCCCACAGGCACUGUUCCCUUCCCCUGCGGCCGUCCCGUCCCUGUCCCCGUGGUGCACCAGCACCGUCACCCUGACAGGCCUGCCUCUGGGACGGCAGCUCCCGGCCCGCAGGCCCGGGUCUCCACGCCCUGGAGACGAGGAGCGCUGGACGAGGAGCUAGCUGCUUGCUGACUCCGUGGUCCA
This 266-nucleotide long non-coding RNA is filed under the name Canis lupus familiaris (dog). RNAcentral describes it as "lncRNA (ENSCAFG00030026017.1)". Lineage: Eukaryota; Metazoa; Chordata; Mammalia; Carnivora; Canidae. The record is from RNAcentral.